UACAGGGGGUGCAAACGUUGCUCGGAAUUAUUGGGCGUAAAGCGCGCGUAGGCGGCUACUUAAGUCGGAUGUGAAAGCCCUUGGCUCAACUGAGGAAGUGCACCCGAAACUGAGUGGCUUGAGUACGAAAGAGGGUCGCGGAAUUCCCGGUGUAGAGGUGAAAUUCGUAGAUAUUGGGAAGAACACCGGUGGCGAAGGCGGCGACCUGGUCCUUGACUGACGCUGAGGCGCGAAAGCGUGGGGAGCAAACAGG
This 253-nucleotide ribosomal RNA is filed under the name uncultured bacterium. RNAcentral's name for it is "partial 16S ribosomal RNA". It matches the Rfam family "Bacterial small subunit ribosomal RNA", at positions 524 to 776 of the family's 1533-position model. The record is from RNAcentral.